UUGGAGCCAUCUUCUGUUUUUAUCUCUGUGGGCAACACUGCAAGAUGGAUUUAGCAGACCGCAGCUUGCAGCCUGUAGACGGGAAGUGAACAUUAGAUUCAAUGGAUUCUUCUAAUCUGAUUUUACUUAAACAUGGUCAAUUACUUUUCCUUGUCACUAAAACAUUACAUUAAGUUGAUCCUAAAACAACAUCUAAAUCUCUAAUUUGGAGGGACAUUCUGAGCAGCAACUCUCCAAAAUUUGCCUUUUUUCAAUAGCAGGAAAUUUACUAUUUGCUAUUUGAAAGUUCUUCAUACUUUCAUCAAGUUCUACACACACACACACACACACACACUCUGCUGGUUUGUGUGAUCUUAUUCUCAUUGUUCCACGGUUUUCUUCUUGCUUUAUUCUGGCUUCUGCAAUCGAUGGUGUUGUUUUUCCAUAAAACAUGAAUGUGCAGAAUAGCUCCGACUUCCCUUCUCUUCCUCUCUGUGGCUGAGGGUCUCUAGGACCUUCGCUCACACCUGUGAGGGCUCUUGAGUCCUGUGUCACUUGUACGGAGCCCUGGAUUUCACAGCCUCCAAGGAUCAGAUGUCUUCUGUUCAAAUGCUGGGAAUAGAAGCUGCAUUUGGUAAAUAAUAGCUUAAAGCAUCGGAAAUAAAGCAAG
Molecule: long non-coding RNA, 649 nt
Filed under: Marmota monax (woodchuck)
Lineage: Eukaryota; Metazoa; Chordata; Mammalia; Rodentia; Sciuridae
Source: RNAcentral